UACGAAGGGGGCUAGCGUUGUUCGGAAUCAUUGGGCGUAAAGCGUCCGCAGGUGGCUGUGUAAGUCUGCUGUUAAAGAGUGAGGCUCAACCUCAUAAAGGCAGUGGAAACUACAUGGCUAGAGUGCGUUCGGGGCAGAGGGAAUUCCUGGUGUAGCGGUGAAAUGCGUAGAGAUCAGGAAGAACACCGGUGGCGAAAGCGCUCUGCUAGGCCGCAACUGACACUGAGGGACGAAAGCUAGGGGAGCGAAUGGG
This 253-nucleotide ribosomal RNA is filed under the name uncultured bacterium. RNAcentral describes it as "partial 16S ribosomal RNA". It matches the Rfam family "Bacterial small subunit ribosomal RNA", at positions 524 to 776 of the family's 1533-position model. The record is from RNAcentral.